RNAcentral lists this ribosomal RNA (224 nucleotides) under Synalpheus hastilicrassus complex sp. B KMH-2014. Its description in RNAcentral is "Synalpheus hastilicrassus B KMH-2014 partial 16S ribosomal RNA". The record is from RNAcentral. Lineage: Eukaryota; Metazoa; Arthropoda; Malacostraca; Decapoda; Alpheidae.
UAACGUUUGUGUGAAAAGGCAUAAAUAAUUUAGUGGGACGAUAAGACCCUAUAAAAUUUGACAUAUUAGUUUAUUUAUCAUAAUUGUUUAUUAAUUGUUAUUUGGACGUGUGUGUUUUGCUGGGGCGGCAUGAAUAUAAUAGUAACUGUUCAUUAUACUUAACAUUAAUAUGUGGAUUUUGGUCCUUUACUGAAGAGGAAAGAAUAAGUUACUUUAGGGAUAAC